Molecule: small RNA, 18 nt
Filed under: Arabidopsis thaliana (thale cress)
Lineage: Eukaryota; Viridiplantae; Streptophyta; Magnoliopsida; Brassicales; Brassicaceae
Description: ATSL248310
Source: RNAcentral
GUCUCUCUCUUCUCUCUC